UAAGGUGUUUAUAGCAGCAGGGUUCCACCUCUUCCCAUUCCGAACAGAGAAGUUAAGCUUGUCAGCGCCGAUGGUACUGCCAAUGGUGGGAGAGUAGGUCAACGCCAACU
This 110-nucleotide ribosomal RNA is filed under the name Labilibaculum euxinicum. The record is from RNAcentral. Lineage: Bacteria; Pseudomonadati; Bacteroidota; Bacteroidia; Marinilabiliales; Marinifilaceae.